Molecule: long non-coding RNA, 889 nt
Organism: Cheilinus undulatus (humphead wrasse)
Lineage: Eukaryota; Metazoa; Chordata; Actinopteri; Labriformes; Labridae
Exons: 3
Source: RefSeq, a predicted model, not a curated record
GACAGAGACAGGCAGAGUAGGAAACACUCCUGUGUGUGUUGUUGAAGCUUUCAGGGUCUUUCACCAAGAAGAUCUGAGCUGGAGCUGAGAUUUAUCCUGAAGGUGGAUCAACCAAUCAGCUCUCACAGACACUGAAGCUCCUCUGUCUCAGAGAUGGUGGUUAGAGUGGUUGUUAAUGGACCCAGAGGGCAGAAAUUGGAGGUGGAGGUAUGUGAGACUGACGAGGAGCUGAAGAGAUUCACCGUCCGACAGCUGAAGGAGAAGAUCUGUGCUCUACCAGGAUACACAGGUGGUGAAGAUGAUCUACGACUGCUCUUCACAGACAAGCUGUUAGAAGAGGACACAGCCCCCCCGUCUGACUAUGGCGUCAAACACAUGUCUGCUAUUAUGGUGGUUUUCAGAGUUCCAGUAGGAUGGGGACCGCCCAUGUAUCAGAAGGCAGAUAGUGGGAUGGGUGACAGAGACGGUCAGAAUCAGAGCAUGGACCAGCUCAGUAAUUUUAGGUGCCAACUGUCCCAGACCUCGUCCACACACAGAACGCUUAUAUCCUGUUUUUUUUUUUUUUUUUAACAAAAGUCUGUUCUAAAAAGGCUGUUUUUAAAUAAUUUUAUUUAUUCAUGAAAAUCAUCCAAACCCAUCUGGCUCUAUGUUUACAAAGGUUACAAAGACAGUUCUAAGUGACCCACAGUCAGAGCCAUUACCCACAAAUAGGGAAAACUGUGAACAGUGGUGAACCUCCUCAGGAGUGAUACAGAGGUGAUGCAUGUUAAGUUGAUCAAACAGGCCUGUCUGUAAAAAUAAAAUCAGAAGUGAAUAAAGAGCUACAUGUUCUAUGGAUAAAACAUACAAACCUAUCUCUAUAGAUGUGACCCUGCUGUGUGUUUCUGCU